CAGCAACCCAGCUCUCCAUAUGCAAAAUACCUGGACUCUAGAAAACUACAUGUCCAGUACUCCAGCCAGUUGCCUGGGUGCUCUGAGUUCUAAUUCUGGAGAGCCUCACAGCCAGCUGAGUCCAGAAGUCCCGCCCAAUAAUAUGGACUUUGGGCUAGCUGGGCAGACUGCAGUUGAGCCAGAUACCUGGAAGGCAGAACUCUUUCCAUUUAUUUAUACCAGAUGAGUCAAUUUGGACUGGAUAGUCAGCCGCAGUGGUUCAGUAACCAAUUUUUGCUGGACCCCUCCUGGAGGAUCCAUCCACACACACUUCAAACCCCAUCUCUGAGCCUGGAGGUGUUCCUACCAAGCAGCUACCGGGCUUGGCCAGCGCUUUGGCGCCCUCUGGCGGGCAUUACGUCUAAUGACAGCUCAGAGGCCUGCCUCCUGCCUCCUGAACAGACCCCUGGAUGGACUGCACUGGGCUUGUGCACUGGGUAGUUGCUGUAAUACCUCCUCUCAUUCUAAAACUACCAUUUUCCUCUCAUAGUCAGCAAUGGUGCUCACGCCUCCCAAUCCUUCCCCUCUAAGUCAUUGAGCCGAACCCACUCCCAAUCACGUGACCAGAUUUCAAUGAAUCAGCCUCCCCGUCUUCAUUUCUGCCACUUGGGUCGAGGUGAGAUUUUCACCAUCAGGGGUGAAUGAGAGGAGGGGAGAAGCUCAGACGGAAGGAAAAGAAGGAAUCUUACAGAAAACCUUCAAGAGAUGAGUCUCUGGGAUGGAUGAACCUGCUGACCAGAGAAAUGCUGCUUUUGCACCCUCCAUUCACAGCCACCCACCCAGCUGCCCAGAGGCCACACACUGCGCAAGCCUGUUCUGGGAGCGCUGCAAGCCCGGUAUUCCAUCCCACACCCUUUUGUCUCAGAUGCAGCCUCUGCAGAAUCCAAAGCAGUCAGAACGCUUCACGGACUGUCCAAUCAUCUGGACUUCAGGCUACCUGAGCUGUCAGAAAGUGACCCGCAGAUGGGAAGAGCAGGACAAGGUCCUUCCUAUCAGGAACAACCAAGUGCCUUCCAGGAGGCAGGUAUUUCCCUCUCACAGUCAUCCAUGGCACUCACUCCUCCCUAUCCCUUAGCAUUCCUCUUAGCCUAUGAGCUGAACCCACUCCAAAUCAAGUAACUGGAUUUACAUUAGAUCAGCCUCCCCUCUUAAUUUAUGUGACCUGUCUUGAGCUAAGAUUUUUUCCCUUAGGGGUGAAUGAAAGGGGGGAGAGGCUCGAAUGGAAGAAAUAGAAGGAAAUUUUCAAAGAAUCCUCAAGAGACAAGUUUCAGGAAAUGUACAACCUUCCCACCAAGGAACCUCUGCUUUUCCACUCUCCAUUCAUGACCACCCACCCAGCUUUCCAGAUGCUGAACAUGGUGCAGGCAUGAUCCUGGAGCACUGCAUGUCCAGUAGCUAAGACAACUACAUCUGUGUUCAGUUUUCUGCCUCCGCAGAAUCCAAAGGCAGUCACUACUCUUGCCAGCCUGCCCAAGUGUCUGGACUUGAGGCCACCUGAGCUGUCUGAGAGCGCCCCACAGAUGGGGAGGCAGAACAGUGUCCUUUCUCUCAGGUGAGGUAAUUAUCCUGAGAGUCAGUGGUGCUUUGUGUCCUACCCCUGCUCCCUAGGCAUGUCCUGGGGGAUCCACCAGCCCCAUCUUCGACUCUGGCUCUGUGCUGGCACAGGCUGAUCCCAAGCAGCCUCUGGGCUUUGCU
Molecule: long non-coding RNA, 1734 nt
Filed under: Sus scrofa (pig)
Lineage: Eukaryota; Metazoa; Chordata; Mammalia; Artiodactyla; Suidae
Description: lncRNA (ENSSSCG00025000376.1)
Source: RNAcentral